UAAGCGACUAAGCGUACACGGUGGAUGCCCUGGCAGUCAGAGGCGAUGAAGGACGUGCUAAUCUGCGAUAAGCGUCGGUAAGGUGAUAUGAACCGUUAUAACCGGCGAUUUCCGAAUGGGGAAACCCAGUGUGUUUCGACACACUAUCAUUAACUGAAUCCAUAGGUUAAUGAGGCGAACCGGGGGAACUGAAACAUCUAAGUACCCCGAGGAAAAGAAAUCAACCGAGAUUCCCCCAGUAGCGGCGAGCGAACGGGGAGCAGCCCAGAGCCUGAAUCAGUGUGUGUGUUAGUGGAAGCGUCUGGAAAGGCGCGCGAUACAGGGUGACAGCCCCGUACACAAAAAUGCACAUGCUGUGAGCUCGAUGAGUAGGGCGGGACACGUGGUAUCCUGUCUGAAUAUGGGGGGACCAUCCUCCAAGGCUAAAUACUCCUGACUGACCGAUAGUGAACCAGUACCGUGAGGGAAAGGCGAAAAGAACCCCGGCGAGGGGAGUGAAAAAGAACCUGAAACCGUGUACGUACAAGCAGUGGGAGCACGCUUAGGCGUGUGACUGCGUACCUUUUGUAUAAUGGGUCAGCGACUUAUAUUCUGUAGCAAGGUUAACCGAAUAGGGGAGCCGAAGGGAAACCGAGUCUUAACUGGGCGUUAAGUUGCAGGGUAUAGACCCGAAACCCGGUGAUCUAGCCAUGGGCAGGUUGAAGGUUGGGUAACACUAACUGGAGGACCGAACCGACUAAUGUUGAAAAAUUAGCGGAUGACUUGUGGCUGGGGGUGAAAGGCCAAUCAAACCGGGAGAUAGCUGGUUCUCCCCGAAAGCUAUUUAGGUAGCGCCUCGUGAAUUCAUCUCCGGGGGUAGAGCACUGUUUCGGCAAGGGGGUCAUCCCGACUUACCAACCCGAUGCAAACUGCGAAUACCGGAGAAUGUUAUCACGGGAGACACACGGCGGGUGCUAACGUCCGUCGUGAAGAGGGAAACAACCCAGACCGCCAGCUAAGGUCCCAAAGUCAUGGUUAAGUGGGAAACGAUGUGGGAAGGCCCAGACAGCCAGGAUGUUGGCUUAGAAGCAGCCAUCAUUUAAAGAAAGCGUAAUAGCUCACUGGUCGAGUCGGCCUGCGCGGAAGAUGUAACGGGGCUAAACCAUGCACCGAAGCUGCGGCAGCGACGCUUAUGCGUUGUUGGGUAGGGGAGCGUUCUGUAAGCCUGCGAAGGUGUGCUGUGAGGCAUGCUGGAGGUAUCAGAAGUGCGAAUGCUGACAUAAGUAACGAUAAAGCGGGUGAAAAGCCCGCUCGCCGGAAGACCAAGGGUUCCUGUCCAACGUUAAUCGGGGCAGGGUGAGUCGACCCCUAAGGCGAGGCCGAAAGGCGUAGUCGAUGGGAAACAGGUUAAUAUUCCUGUACUUGGUGUUACUGCGAAGGGGGGACGGAGAAGGCUAUGUUGGCCGGGCGACGGUUGUCCCGGUUUAAGCGUGUAGGCUGGUUUUCCAGGCAAAUCCGGAAAAUCAAGGCUGAGGCGUGAUGACGAGGCACUACGGUGCUGAAGCAACAAAUGCCCUGCUUCCAGGAAAAGCCUCUAAGCAUCAGGUAACAUCAAAUCGUACCCCAAACCGACACAGGUGGUCAGGUAGAGAAUACCAAGGCGCUUGAGAGAACUCGGGUGAAGGAACUAGGCAAAAUGGUGCCGUAACUUCGGGAGAAGGCACGCUGAUAUGUAGGUGAAGUCCCUUGCGGAUGGAGCUGAAAUCAGUCGAAGAUACCAGCUGGCUGCAACUGUUUAUUAAAAACACAGCACUGUGCAAACACGAAAGUGGACGUAUACGGUGUGACGCCUGCCCGGUGCCGGAAGGUUAAUUGAUGGGGUUAGCGGUAACGCGAAGCUCUUGAUCGAAGCCCCGGUAAACGGCGGCCGUAACUAUAACGGUCCUAAGGUAGCGAAAUUCCUUGUCGGGUAAGUUCCGACCUGCACGAAUGGCGUAAUGAUGGCCAGGCUGUCUCCACCCGAGACUCAGUGAAAUUGAACUCGCUGUGAAGAUGCAGUGUACCCGCGGCAAGACGGAAAGACCCCGUGAACCUUUACUAUAGCUUGACACUGAACAUUGAGCCUUGAUGUGUAGGAUAGGUGGGAGGCUUUGAAGUGUGGACGCCAGUCUGCAUGGAGCCGACCUUGAAAUACCACCCUUUAAUGUUUGAUGUUCUAACGUGGACCCGUAAUCCGGGUUGCGGACAGUGUCUGGUGGGUAGUUUGACUGGGGCGGUCUCCUCCUAAAGAGUAACGGAGGAGCACGAAGGUUGGCUAAUCCUGGUCGGACAUCAGGAGGUUAGUGCAAUGGCAUAAGCCAGCUUGACUGCGAGCGUGACGGCGCGAGCAGGUGCGAAAGCAGGUCAUAGUGAUCCGGUGGUUCUGAAUGGAAGGGCCAUCGCUCAACGGAUAAAAGGUACUCCGGGGAUAACAGGCUGAUACCGCCCAAGAGUUCAUAUCGACGGCGGUGUUUGGCACCUCGAUGUCGGCUCAUCACAUCCUGGGGCUGAAGUAGGUCCCAAGGGUAUGGCUGUUCGCCAUUUAAAGUGGUACGCGAGCUGGGUUUAGAACGUCGUGAGACAGUUCGGUCCCUAUCUGCCGUGGGCGCUGGAGAACUGAGGGGGGCUGCUCCUAGUACGAGAGGACCGGAGUGGACGCAUCACUGGUGUUCGGGUUGUCAUGCCAAUGGCACUGCCCGGUAGCUAAAUGCGGAAGAGAUAAGUGCUGAAAGCAUCUAAGCACGAAACUUGCCCCGAGAUGAGUUCUCCCUGACUCCUUGAGAGUCCUGAAGGAACGUUGAAGACGACGACGUUGAUAGGCCGGGUGUGUAAGCGCAGCGAUGCGUUGAGCUAACCGGUACUAAUGAACCGUGAGGCUUAACCU
RNAcentral lists this ribosomal RNA (2902 nucleotides) under Escherichia coli 2-177-06_S3_C2. RNAcentral describes it as "bacterial LSU rRNA". It matches the Rfam family "Bacterial large subunit ribosomal RNA". Lineage: Bacteria; Pseudomonadati; Pseudomonadota; Gammaproteobacteria; Enterobacterales; Enterobacteriaceae. The record is from RNAcentral.